GCCUGAGUGGCUCAGUCGGUUGAGUGUUUGACUUCAGCUCACAUCAUGAUCUCAUGGUCUGUGGGUUCAAGCCCCGCAUCAGGCU
RNAcentral lists this transfer RNA (85 nucleotides) under Felis catus (domestic cat). It matches the Rfam family "tRNA". From Rfam's summary of the family: Transfer RNA (tRNA) molecules are approximately 80 nucleotides in length. Their secondary structure includes four short double-helical elements and three loops (D, anti-codon, and T loops). Further hydrogen bonds mediate the characteristic L-shaped molecular structure. tRNAs have two regions of fundamental functional importance: the anti-codon, which is responsible for specific mRNA codon recognition, and the 3' end, to which the tRNAs corresponding amino acid is attached (by aminoacyl-tRNA synthetases). tRNAs cope with the degeneracy of the genetic code in two manners: having more than one tRNA (with a specific anti-codon) for a particular amino acid; and 'wobble' base-pairing, i.e. permitting non-standard base-pairing at the 3rd anti-codon position. Lineage: Eukaryota; Metazoa; Chordata; Mammalia; Carnivora; Felidae. The record is from Rfam by way of RNAcentral.